AUGACGAGUGGCGAACGGGUGCGUAACGCGUAUGCAACCUACCUUCAAUCGGGGAAUACCCCAGAGAAAUUUGGAAUAAUACCCCAUAGUACAACGGAAUCGCAUGAUUUUGUUGUUAAAGUUUAGGCGAUUGAAGAUGGGCAUGCGUGACAUUAGUUUGUUGGUAAGGUAACGGCUUACCAAGACUACGAUGUCUAGGGGUUCUGAGAGGAUGAUCCCCCACACUGGUACUGAGACACGGACCAGACUCC
RNAcentral lists this ribosomal RNA (251 nucleotides) under uncultured bacterium. Its description in RNAcentral is "partial 16S ribosomal RNA". It matches the Rfam family "Bacterial small subunit ribosomal RNA", at positions 88 to 339 of the family's 1533-position model. The record is from RNAcentral.